CUCCCGCCAAAGUCAGACUGCAGUGACCCUGUGCAUUCCUGCAGCGGCUGCAAGAAGAACUUAGAAACAGUCUGAGACCUUGCUCCCACCAUCUACAGAGCAAGGUUAUAGAAAUUUCAAAUGUUC
RNAcentral lists this small nucleolar RNA (126 nucleotides) under Echinops telfairi (small Madagascar hedgehog). RNAcentral's name for it is "Small nucleolar RNA SNORA9 (ENSETEG00000026200.1)". Lineage: Eukaryota; Metazoa; Chordata; Mammalia; Afrosoricida; Tenrecidae. The record is from RNAcentral.